AUGCACGCUGGCGGCGUGCCUAAUACAUGCCAGUCGAGCGAACAGAUGAGGAGCUUGCUCCUCUGACGUUAGCGGCGGACGGGUGAGUAACACGUGGAUAACCUACCUAUAAGACUGGGAUAACUUCGGGAAACCGGAGCUAAUACCGGAUAAUAUAUUGAACCGCAUGGUUCAAUAGUGAAAGACGGUUUUGCUGUCACUUAUAGAUGGAUCCGCGCCGCAUUAGCUAGUUGGUAAGGUAACGGCUUACCAAGGCAACGAUGCGUAGCCGACCUGAGAGGGUGAUCGGCCACACUGGAACUGAGACACGGUCCAGACUCCUACGGGAGGCAGCAGUAGGGAAUCUUCCGCAAAGGGCGAAAGCCUGACGGAGCAACGCCGCGUGAGUGAUGAAGGUCUUCGGAUCGUAAAACUCUGUUAUUAGGGAAGAACAAAUGUGUAAGUAACUAUGCACGUCUUGACGGUACCUAAUCAGAAAGCCACGGCUAACUACGUG
RNAcentral lists this ribosomal RNA (496 nucleotides) under uncultured bacterium. RNAcentral's name for it is "partial 16S ribosomal RNA". It matches the Rfam family "Bacterial small subunit ribosomal RNA", at positions 29 to 507 of the family's 1533-position model. The record is from RNAcentral.